UACAGAGGGUGCAAGCGUUAAUCGGAAUUACUGGGCGUAAAGCGUGCGUAGACGGUUAUGUAAGUCGGGUGUGAAAGCCCCGGGCUCAACCUGGGAAUGCCAUUCGAGACUGCGUAGCUAGGGUGCGGAAGAGGGAAGCGGAAUUUCCGGUGUAGCGGUGAAAUGCGUAGAUAUCGGAAGGAACACCAGUGGCGAAGGCGGCGAUCUGGGAAGAUACUGACGCUGAGGUGCGAAAGCGUGGGGAGCAAACAGG
This 253-nucleotide ribosomal RNA is filed under the name uncultured bacterium. RNAcentral describes it as "partial 16S ribosomal RNA". It matches the Rfam family "Bacterial small subunit ribosomal RNA", at positions 524 to 776 of the family's 1533-position model. The record is from RNAcentral.